CUGCACCCACUCAUAGACCUUGAACAGUUUGUGGCUACUCCUCUGGUUUGUUCUAGGAUGUAAAAGAAAAUGCUCUCUGUGCUUUCUGAAUGUCUUUGUGCUCAAGGUUGAAGUGGGGGGUACAUUG
This 127-nucleotide small nucleolar RNA is filed under the name Microtus ochrogaster (prairie vole). Its description in RNAcentral is "Small nucleolar RNA SNORA31 (ENSMOCG00000010665.1)". It matches the Rfam family "Small nucleolar RNA SNORA31". From Rfam's summary of the family: ACA31 (SNORA31) belongs to the H/ACA class of snoRNAs which are thought to guide the sites of modification of uridines to pseudouridines. The record is from Rfam by way of RNAcentral. Lineage: Eukaryota; Metazoa; Chordata; Mammalia; Rodentia; Cricetidae.